AUUACUCCAUCUCGUGUGCUCGCGUCUUGAUGCGUGUCAUGCGGGGUUGGAGAUAAUGUUUUUGGGCAUCGAUAAGUGCCAAGGAAUAGUUUGCAAAGCGGCUUAUUGCGCAUCUUGAUGCNUGAUAAAAUAAGACAUCGAAAGACUCUCGGCAACGGAUAUCUUGGCUCUUGCAUCGAUGAAGAACGCAGCGAAAUGCGAUAUGUGUUGUGAAUUGCAGAAUCCCGUGAACCAUCCAGUCUUUGAACGCAAGUCGCGCCCAAGGUUGCACGCCGAGGGCACGUCUGCAUGGGUGUGAUGCGUUAAGUCGCUCUCACAGGAAANCCCCCUUCUUGGUGCCUCGGUUCCUGUUUGGAGGCGAGCGGUGGCUCCCCGUGCUGUUGCAUGGUGAGUUGAAGUGCUGGCUGAUGUUUGGCUCGUGAUGCUCUAAGAGGUGGAAGUUGCACAAAGCGUUGUGCAGGCGUCCAGUCGAGCUUGACGUUGCAGCCCAUCA
This 493-nucleotide unclassified non-coding RNA is filed under the name Lecanorchis trachycaula. Its description in RNAcentral is "partial contains 18S rRNA, ITS1, 5.8S rRNA, ITS2 and 28S RNA". The stretch from base 144 to 298 matches the Rfam family "5.8S ribosomal RNA". The record is from RNAcentral. Lineage: Eukaryota; Viridiplantae; Streptophyta; Magnoliopsida; Asparagales; Orchidaceae.